UGAGCAACCUGCCUUUCANAGGGGGAUAACAGUUGGAAACGACUGCUAAUACCGCAUAACGCUGCGAUGGGGCAUCCCGAUGCAGCCAAAGGAGCAAUCCGCUGGAAGAUGGGCUCGCGGCCGAUUAGCUAGUUGGUGGGGCAACGGCCCACCAAGGCGACGAUCGGUAGCCGGACUGAGAGGUUGAUCGGCCACAUUGGGACUGAGACACGGCCCAGACUCCUACGGGAGGCAGCAG
RNAcentral lists this ribosomal RNA (238 nucleotides) under uncultured bacterium. RNAcentral describes it as "partial 16S ribosomal RNA". It matches the Rfam family "Bacterial small subunit ribosomal RNA", at positions 118 to 354 of the family's 1533-position model. The record is from RNAcentral.